GGAAGGAUCAUUAACACUUCUAUAUAACUUAUAAACCCCAAACCCUACUUCUGUUAAAUACUACAGUAUAAUCAAAAUAACAUAACCUAACUUAAUUUAACCCAUAACACCUAACAACAUAACUAAUUGACUAAUUUUCAGAUUGUAUCUCUUCUUAAGCAAAUAUGUAUUCUCUUCAUUUGUUUCUUUAAUCGGAAAUAAGUUUAGAUCUGAAAUAUAGCAAUAUAUAUCUUGAGUCGUUUGUGACGAGUUGAGUCCGAUCUUGUUUUAAUUCCAAUUCAUUGAUUUGAAUUGUAUUUUAAACAACAUAUAUAUAUUACAACUCUAAACAAUGGAUAUCUUGGUUCUCGCAACGAUGAAGAACGCAGCGAAAUGCGAUAUGUAAUGCGAAUUGCAGAAUUCAGUGAAUCAUCAAAUCUUUGAACGCAAAUGGCGCUCUCGGGUUAUUCCUGAGAGCACGCUUCUCUGAGGAUCGGUUUAAUCCAAUAUAAUCAACUUUCUUAAAACAAUAGUGAAAACUAAUUAAGAAUAGAAUCGUGAGUAGUAAAUGAGUGGAUUGAGAAAUUGAGUUCCUUGACUGUCCUCUUGUCUUUAGCAAUAAAGGGAAUGACUGUUGGGUUGAGUGAUAUUUUUCUCUUCUAAUUGAAAUGAACUUCUCUAUUUAAAUUAGGAUUCAUUAAUGUUAUAAGGUCACAAAGUUGGUUGAAAAUGAGUGUUUUGAUCAGCUAUUCAGUUAGACUUCAAAUCACUUUAAAAUGCAAAAUCAAUUACCAAAACCUUUUGAAUUCUUUUCAAUAUCUUUAGUAUUCUUGUAAUUCCAGAGUUCGUUUUAAUUGAAAUGAGAUAGUGUGAAGAUUAAAGUAAUUUAAUUUAAACAUCUUCAAAGCUUCCAUUUUGACUUGAGCCAGAAUUGUAUUUUUUACUGCACUGUGAAAUAUCAGUGUUUAAUAAGAAAUCAAGAAGAACAAGAGUUAAUUGGAAAUCGAGUCGAAGGUUAAAGUGUAAUUUGACAUUAUUGUCUUAAUUGAAAUAAGGAAUGCAAAUUCUUCUUUUUCAUGUUAGGAUCAAUAAAAACCGAUUAUGACUUUGAAAGUUCAAUAUAAGGAACUUGUUCUUUAUAAUGAAUCGAAUGAGUUGAAAUCAACCUCUUUACUUUGAAUUAGAUCUCAGAUGAAGCGAGACUACCCCCUGAAUUUAAGCAUAUUAAUAAGGGGAGGAAAAGAAACUAACAAGGAUUCCCCUAGUAACGGCGAGUGAAGCGGGAAAAGCUCAAACUGAAAAUCGGAAUUCUAAACAGAAUUUUGAAUUGUAGUCUAACGAUAUUUGAUCAGCAUGUUUCAUGAGUUUAAGUCCUUUGAAACAAGGCAUCAUAGAGGAUGAAAAUUCCGUCUUCAACUCAUUGUUAAACUGCGUACGACAAAUAUUCUAUGAGUCGAGUUGUUUGAGAAUGCAGCUCUAAAUGGGUGAUAUGUUUCAUCUAAAGCUAAAUAUAGGCGAGAGACCGAUAGUGAACAAGUACCGUGAGGGAAAGAUGAAAAGAACUUUGAAAAGAGAGUUAAACAGGGCUUGAAAUUGUUUAGAGGGAAGCGCUGAAAAUCAGUACCGUAAAAUAAGAAUGAUAUGUUAUUAAACCCCCUUACCUGAAGUUAAGAAUUCAAAUUUCUAGCAAUAGGAUUGAGUUUUUAAUGAAGGAUAACUUAGUAAUUUACGUCAAUCUUAUUGGGUCAGAAUCAAUUCGAUUUCUAUGAAAAAGUUAAAGGGAAGGUAGGAUUGAUGUGUAAAAGCAUUAGUCUGUUAUAGCCCUUUAAACCUAAUAGAAAUUGGAUUGAGGGUCUUCAUUAUGAUACGUCUUAAUUGGCUUGAUUUAAGAGUUUCUAUUUAACUCCUGAAACUUGGAAUUGAAUGAAUUGCUUGCUUUAUGGAGUUGAAUACUGAAUUCUUGAAUUGUAUGUAUCAUCGUGAUUCUGACAAAAUGGUUUUCAUCGACCCGUCUUGAAACACGGACCAAGGAGUCUAACAUAUAUGCGAGUAUUAGAGUGCUAAAACUCUGAUGCGGAAUGAAAGUAAAGUUAAUAAUUUCUUAUUAAUGAGAUAGGAAGUUUAAAUUUCUGUUAAAUGGCACUAUCGACCGAUCAUCACUUGUGUUUGAUUGAGUAAGAGCAUAUCUGUUGGGACCCGAAAGAUGGUGAUCUAUGCCUGAACAGGGUGAAGCCAGGGGAAACUCUGGUGGAGGCUCGUAGCGAUACUGACGUGCAAAUCGUUCGUCUGAUUUGGGUAUAGGGCGAAAGACUAAUCGAACCAUCUAGUAGCUGGUUCCCUC
RNAcentral lists this unclassified non-coding RNA (2320 nucleotides) under uncultured fungus. Its description in RNAcentral is "sequence contains 18S rRNA gene, ITS1, 5.8S rRNA gene, ITS2, 28S rRNA gene". The stretch from base 1162 to 2320 matches the Rfam family "Eukaryotic large subunit ribosomal RNA", at positions 1 to 961 of the family's 3401-position model. The record is from RNAcentral. Lineage: Eukaryota; Fungi.